GAUGAACGCUGGCGGCGUGCUUAACACAUGCAAGUCGAACGAAGCAAUUUAUUUGUUUUCCUUCGGGACUUAUUAUUUUGUGACUGAGUGACGGACGGGUGAGUAACGUGUGGGUAACCUGCCUUGUACAGGGGGCUAACCGAUGGCCACGGAUGCUAAUAAACCAUAUGCGCCCAGCAUAGCAUGCUGCCUUGCGAAAACCUAGGGUGGGAUAAGCUGUACCUGAGUUGGAUUAGCAAGUAGGUGAGGUAAAGGCCUACCAAGGGGACGAUCCAUAGCCGACCUGUGAGAGUGACCGCACACAUUGGGACUAAGACGCGGCCCAAACUCCUACGGGAGGCAGCAGAGGGGAAUAUUGCACAAUGGGCGAAAGCCUGAUGCAGCGACGCCGCGUGAGCUAAGAAGUAUUUCGAGAAGUAAAGCUCAAGCAGCAGUGAAGAUAAUGACGGUACCUGACUAGGAAGCACCGGCUAAAUACGUG
Molecule: ribosomal RNA, 481 nt
Filed under: uncultured bacterium
Lineage: Bacteria
Description: partial 16S ribosomal RNA
Rfam family: Bacterial small subunit ribosomal RNA
Source: RNAcentral